CCUACGGGAGGCAGCAGUGAGGAAUAUUGGUCAAUGGUCGGGAGACUGAACCAGCCAAGCCGCGUGAGGGAGGAAGGUACAGAGUAUCGUAAACCUCUUUUGUCAGGGAACAAAGGCGGGGACGUGUCCCCGGAUGAGUGUACCUGAAGAAAAAGCAUCGGCUAACUCCGUGCCAGCAGCCGCGGUAAUACGGAGGAUGCGAGCGUUAUCCGGAUUUAUUGGGUUAAAAGGGUGCGCAGGCGGUCUGUUAAGUCAGUGGUAAAAGCCCGGGGCUCAACCCCGGCCCGCCGUUGAACCUGGCAGUCUCGAGUUGGAGAGAAGUAUGCGGAAUGCGCGGUGUAGCGGUGAAAUGCAUAGAUAUCGCGCAGAACUCCGAUUGCGAAGGCAGCAUGCCGGCUCCACACUGACGCUGAGGCACGAAAGCGUGGGUAUCGAACAGGAUUAGAUACCCCAGUAGUC
RNAcentral lists this ribosomal RNA (459 nucleotides) under uncultured bacterium. RNAcentral's name for it is "partial 16S ribosomal RNA". It matches the Rfam family "Bacterial small subunit ribosomal RNA", at positions 338 to 795 of the family's 1533-position model. The record is from RNAcentral.